CCUUCGCAGCUUUAUAGGUCAUUCUACCGGCCAGAGUCAAUAUUUGUAGCUGUAUUCAAUUAUGCGUCUCGCAGUUUUGUGUUUUCUAUGUGCGAUGAUUUGGAAGAUGAGUUGGAGUUUAGAGAGCCAAGGAAAUUCCAUGAUUGCCGACGAGAGAAGCAACAUCGAAAAAAGAAAAGGGCAUAAAGGUGAACGUCCACCUUGCUGGUUUGGAAGGUGUAGAAGAAGAAGGAGUUACGCUUCGGGCCCCUCAAAGACCGAGAGUCGACUACACGAUGAAGAAAAAUCAUAUGAUAUCGACGAAGAGCUUUAACAAGACUGACAGCAGCUGCAGACUUAAAACAUCAAAAAAAGGGGGAAAUUGUAUUUAUUUGAGCCCUUUGGGAGUAUUUUGGUUGUGGACUGAAAUUAAAUCAUUCAAAAGUACAGAGUAUUUAUUGUGAAUGCACCAUUAUAAUAGUAUCAUUGAUGCUAUUCUAUCAUUCUUUGUUUUUUUUUUUGAUUAAUUUUUCUUUUUUCGUUUCCUUUUUACUUUUGUAUUCAUUCGACCCUGUAUUCAUCUCUUAUUUUGAGUCAAUAGAAAAGUUGAGUUCAGGAAAUGGCUAAUGUUUUACAACAUUUUCCCGAAAUUAAAUUCAUCUUCUCUGACAAGGCA
This is a long non-coding RNA of Stylophora pistillata, 655 nucleotides long. The record is from RefSeq and is a predicted model, not a curated record. Lineage: Eukaryota; Metazoa; Cnidaria; Anthozoa; Scleractinia; Pocilloporidae.